RNAcentral lists this ribosomal RNA (1255 nucleotides) under Staphylococcus aureus. Its description in RNAcentral is "bacterial SSU rRNA". It matches the Rfam family "Bacterial small subunit ribosomal RNA", at positions 216 to 1461 of the family's 1533-position model. Lineage: Bacteria; Bacillati; Bacillota; Bacilli; Caryophanales; Staphylococcaceae. The record is from RNAcentral.
CACUUAUAGAUGGAUCCGCGCUGCAUUAGCUAGUUGGUAAGGUAACGGCUUACCAAGGCAACGAUGCAUAGCCGACCUGAGAGGGUGAUCGGCCACACUGGAACUGAGACACGGUCCAGACUCCUACGGGAGGCAGCAGUAGGGAAUCUUCCGCAAUGGGCGAAAGCCUGACGGAGCAACGCCGCGUGAGUGAUGAAGGUCUUCGGAUCGUAAAACUCUGUUAUUAGGGAAGAACAUAUGUGUAAGUAACUGUGCACAUCUUGACGGUACCUAAUCAGAAAGCCACGGCUAACUACGUGCCAGCAGCCGCGGUAAUACGUAGGUGGCAAGCGUUAUCCGGAAUUAUUGGGCGUAAAGCGCGCGUAGGCGGUUUUUUAAGUCUGAUGUGAAAGCCCACGGCUCAACCGUGGAGGGUCAUUGGAAACUGGAAAACUUGAGUGCAGAAGAGGAAAGUGGAAUUCCAUGUGUAGCGGUGAAAUGCGCAGAGAUAUGGAGGAACACCAGUGGCGAAGGCGACUUUCUGGUCUGUAACUGACGCUGAUGUGCGAAAGCGUGGGGAUCAAACAGGAUUAGAUACCCUGGUAGUCCACGCCGUAAACGAUGAGUGCUAAGUGUUAGGGGGUUUCCGCCCCUUAGUGCUGCAGCUAACGCAUUAAGCACUCCGCCUGGGGAGUACGACCGCAAGGUUGAAACUCAAAGGAAUUGACGGGGACCCGCACAAGCGGUGGAGCAUGUGGUUUAAUUCGAAGCAACGCGAAGAACCUUACCAAAUCUUGACAUCCUUUGACAACUCUAGAGAUAGAGCUUUCCCCUUCGGGGGACAAAGUGACAGGUGGUGCAUGGUUGUCGUCAGCUCGUGUCGUGAGAUGUUGGGUUAAGUCCCGCAACGAGCGCAACCCUUAAGCUUAGUUGCCAUCAUUAAGUUGGGCACUCUAAGUUGACUGCCGGUGACAAACCGGAGGAAGGUGGGGAUGACGUCAAAUCAUCAUGCCCCUUAUGAUUUGGGCUACACACGUGCUACAAUGGACAAUACAAAGGGCAGCGAAACCGCGAGGUCAAGCAAAUCCCAUAAAGUUGUUCUCAGUUCGGAUUGUAGUCUGCAACUCGACUACAUGAAGCUGGAAUCGCUAGUAAUCGUAGAUCAGCAUGCUACGGUGAAUACGUUCCCGGGUCUUGUACACACCGCCCGUCACACCACGAGAGUUUGUAACACCCGAAGCCGGUGGAGUAACCUUUUAGGAGCUAGCCGUCGAAG